Molecule: ribosomal RNA, 559 nt
Filed under: Mazzaella macrocarpa
Lineage: Eukaryota; Rhodophyta; Florideophyceae; Gigartinales; Gigartinaceae
Description: eukaryotic LSU rRNA
Rfam family: Eukaryotic large subunit ribosomal RNA
Source: RNAcentral
AUGACAAGCACUUUGAAAAGAGGGUGAAAAGAGCCUGAAACCGUCACGGGGGAAGCGGAUCGCGUUGGAUUGAUGGGCGCUUGCGUGUUCAGCCCUUUUGGGUGCAUUGGCGCAAGUUGCUUAUCCGCUGUGGGUUUUCGGGGGUCGACUUUGGACCCCUGAGGACUGAGGGCUCCCUUUUACAGGUUGAGGACAGCGGAGUGACGACGCGAUACGACCCGUCUUGAAACACGGACCAAGGAGUCUAGCGCGGGUGCGAGUCGGAGGGUGCAAGCCCGUGGGCGAAGUGAAAGCGAGUGUAAAAACGAGCAGUUUGGGGCGGCAUAAGAUCGUUGAUCUUAAGACCGACCCAGAGCAGUUGCGCUGGGACCCGAAAGAUGGUGAACUAUGCCGGAGUAGGGCAAAGCCAGAGGAAACUCUGGUGGAGGCUCGUAGCGGUGCUGACGUGCAAAUCGCUCGUCGAACUUGGGUAUAGGGGCGAAAGACUAAUCGAACCAUCUAGUAGCUGGUUCCCUCCGAAGUUUCUCUCAGGAUAGCGGGCCGACAAGUUGUUUUGUGC